Molecule: ribosomal RNA, 1088 nt
Filed under: Bacillus sp. OTB94
Lineage: Bacteria; Bacillati; Bacillota; Bacilli; Caryophanales; Bacillaceae
Description: bacterial SSU rRNA
Rfam family: Bacterial small subunit ribosomal RNA
Source: RNAcentral
AUGGACGAAAGUCUGACGGAGCAACGCCGCGUGAGUGAUGAAGGUUUUCGGAUCGUAAAACUCUGUUGUCAGGGAAGAACAAGUGCCGGAGUAACUGCCGGCACCUUGACGGUACCUGACCAGAAAGCCACGGCUAACUACGUGCCAGCAGCCGCGGUAAUACGUAGGUGGCAAGCGUUGUCCGGAAUUAUUGGGCGUAAAGCGCGCGCAGGCGGUUUCUUAAGUCUGAUGUGAAAGCCCCCGGCUCAACCGGGGAGGGUCAUUGGAAACUGGGAAACUUGAGUGCAGAAGAGGAGAGUGGAAUUCCACGUGUAGCGGUGAAAUGCGUAGAGAUGUGGAGGAACACCAGUGGCGAAGGCGACUCUCUGGUCUGUAACUGACGCUGAGGCGCGAAAGCGUGGGGAGCGAACAGGAUUAGAUACCCUGGUAGUCCACGCCGUAAACGAUGAGUGCUAAGUGUUAGAGGGUUUCCGCCCUUUAGUGCUGCAGCUAACGCAUUAAGCACUCCGCCUGGGGAGUACGGUCGCAAGACUGAAACUCAAAGGAAUUGACGGGGGCCCGCACAAGCGGUGGAGCAUGUGGUUUAAUUCGAAGCAACGCGAAGAACCUUACCAGGUCUUGACAUCCUUUGCCACUUCUAGAGAUAGAAGGUUCCCCUUCGGGGGACAAAGUGACAGGUGGUGCAUGGUUGUCGUCAGCUCGUGUCGUGAGAUGUUGGGUUAAGUCCCGCAACGAGCGCAACCCUUGAUCUUAGUUGCCAGCAUUCAGUUGGGCACUCUAAGGUGACUGCCGGUGACAAACCGGAGGAAGGUGGGGAUGACGUCAAAUCAUCAUGCCCCUUAUGACCUGGGCUACACACGUGCUACAAUGGAUGGUACAAAGGGCUGCGAGACCGCGAGGUUUAGCCAAUCCCAUAAAACCAUUCUCAGUUCGGAUUGCAGGCUGCAACUCGCCUGCAUGAAGCUGGAAUCGCUAGUAAUCGCGGAUCAGCAUGCCGCGGUGAAUACGUUCCCGGGCCUUGUACACACCGCCCGUCACACCACGAGAGUUUGCAACACCCGAAGUCGGUGGGGUAACCGCAAGGAGCC